Molecule: long non-coding RNA, 2365 nt
Organism: Macrosteles quadrilineatus (aster leafhopper)
Lineage: Eukaryota; Metazoa; Arthropoda; Insecta; Hemiptera; Cicadellidae
Exons: 3
Source: RefSeq, a predicted model, not a curated record
UGCAAUAAAAAACGCUAAAUAAUAAUCUUAAUUGUCAGUUUAUAUUUUUAUUAUUUAGACUGUGUAUUAUAUCUUACUAUACUUUAUAUUUUACUUCGUAUAUAAUUUUUCUAACUGAAAAUAAACAUUUGAUUCUUUAUUAAUUCUGAAAUAUUAAAUUGUAUUGUUUUAUUUAGUAGGUACAGAAUAACCAAGCACGAUUUUGAUCAGAACAAUAGCUAUUCGUCAGAGACUGAACAGGACCUUUCAACGCUAAAAUACUAAAAAGUGAAAUGAAUUCAGGAGUACAACAUGUAACAAAAGUCAGACUCCUUUACAAAACAAUACUACGAUUGCAUCAAGGCCUGCCUGAAGCUUUGCAAACCCUGGGAGACAACUAUGUGAAAGACGAAUUUAAACGACACAAGAAAUGCAAUCCUGUAGAAACUGCACAGUUUAUGAUGGAAUGGACUCAUUAUGCAGUCUCUUUAGCAAACCAAUUAGGAAUGAAUGAGCCCAGACCUGAACUAGACGUGGGAUCAUAUAUUGAUGAAAAAACUCUUGAACAUAUGAGAGAAGACCAAGUUGUGCAGUUAUACGAGCUAUUAAUGGCAACUAAGGGGGCUAAAGAACAAUGAGGUCAUGAGAAGAAAGAAAUCAUUGUAGAUAUCAUAGUUGUUUACUUUGAAACAUGAAUUACAGAAAACUUCUCCUCUAGCAUGGCCUUAGGGAUACUGAAGUAGACACCUCAUCUAUAUGGACCACUGGACCAGCUUUAGCCAUUUUAGCGAAUUUCCCAUAUAGGGAAUAAGCUAUUACUGUGGUACUCAUGGUAAACCUACAUUCAUUCGAACGAGUUCGCGAACUAGCAUGAUCCGACUAUGGGAACGAGGGUUUUAUGGGGCAAAAAUAGGUUUUUCCCAAAAAAACAUAAAAUUUAGCAAUUUUUUUCCAAACCAUUUUGCUGAGCUUAAAAAACAAAUAAUUUAGUAUAUUGAAGCGUUAUUGAAGCGCCUAAUGAUUACGGAGAAAAUUCCAAAAAAAUGUAAAUUUAAAAUUCCCAUGUUAUUCUUAUGGAGAACAAGUAAACUGUUGUAGUUUGCUUGUUUAUGAACAUAUUUUGAUUAAAUUUGGAAAAUGUUUUUAUUUCUUACUAACUAUUAACAUUUUACAAAAAAAAAAAAAAAAAACAGUUUUACCCUCCCUGAUGCAGCAAACCUAAGUACUUGUUAAACUAAUUCUAUUUAAAUAGGAAAUAAAAUGUUAUAUUUUUAAGUAGACAUUUUACUGUAAAUCCAAUCAGGCAAAUGGAAAUUCGCUUAGUCUGCAGGUUUGCUGCGGCAAGGGUAUUUUGUAUGAAAAAAAAACAUAUGUGAAUAUAGUGGCGUAACUAGAAAAUAUGGCUUUGAGGGGGGGGGGGUGUAUGAGCUCGGAAAAUUUGUAACAAAUAGAAUUCUAAACUUGCAUUUCCAGGCAUUCCAGAGGUGUAAUCACGUUCAAAAGAACUCCAAAAAUCAACCCGAUUGAGGCUGUCUCCUGACGGUCAGAUUCAGGAAAUAUUAUCUCUCUGGAUUAAGAAGUACCACUAUCGGUAAAUACUCAUGUGAUUCGCAACUUAUUGCAGUUUCUCCAAGUUUUAGAUUUGGGUGAAAUACCUUCCUGACGACUCUGAUAUUUCAGAAUACACAUAAUAACAUUGAUUUUUUUAGAAACUUUAAUUGCCAGCACUAGUAACUAACAUCUAAAAGCUGUCUGGCGUCUGCUUAGGACUUACAGUGCAUGCUUGCAGUGUUACCACUACCACUCUCCAAAUUUACUCCCGCUACCUGGGUGUAUUAAUUAAAUAAACCUUUUAAAAUUAGUUUAAUAUACAAAUGAACUACCUAAUAAUUUUAACGAAUUAGAUUGAUAAAACCAAAUCAAAACUAAAUCACCAGUUUCAGUUUUAAACUUCACUCAACUUGAGCAACUGUAUUUUAAAGAAGUAGGAUUGCUGUAAUUCAAAUAUUUAUUUUCAUUUAAGGGUUCUGGGGGGGGGGUUCUAUCCCCCUCAUCCCCCCCAUAGUUACGCCACUGUGUGAACAAGCCAAUCGUAGCUGCAGUCUAAAAUUAUACCUCAGGUUUUUUUGUAUCUGUGAUAGUGUAUACAUAAAUAAUGCUAUGGAUAUUAAAAUUUGUCCUUUUCGUUUGCCUUGGUCAAAAGUUGAUGUAUUCAACAGAAAUCAAUAGUUUAAGAACAUCAAACACUGUCAUUGGCUCAACUAGGUUCAUUUUAGCGAAUUUCCCUAUAGGGAAAGUAGCUAUUACCGUAGGUGGCACGGUAAGAACUAGACCCGGGACCGAUUUACUUUUUCAUUUUGAUGUCCCCAGAGGCCAAAAACACCAU